UACGGAGGGUGCAAGCAUUAAUCGGAAUUAUUGGGCGUAAAGGGCGCGUAGGUGGAUAGAAAAGUCUGAUGUGAAAUACCGGAGCUCAACUUCGGAACUGCAUUAGAAACUCUUUAUCUAGAGGGUAGGUGGAGAAAACGGAAUUCCAAGUGUAGCGGUGAAAUGCGUAGAUAUUGGGAAGAACACCGGUGGCGAAGGCGGCUCUCUGGACCGAUACUGACGCUGAGGCGCGAAAGCGUGGGGAGCAAACAGG
RNAcentral lists this ribosomal RNA (253 nucleotides) under uncultured bacterium. Its description in RNAcentral is "partial 16S ribosomal RNA". It matches the Rfam family "Bacterial small subunit ribosomal RNA", at positions 524 to 776 of the family's 1533-position model. The record is from RNAcentral.